UACGGAGGAUCCGAGCGUUAUCCGGAUUUACUGGGCGUAAAGGGAGCGUAGGCGGACUUUUAAGUGAGAUGUGAAAUACCCGGGCUCAACUUGGGUGCUGCAUUUCAAACUGGAAGUCUAGAGUGCAGGAGAGGAGAAUGGAAUUCCUAGUGUAGCGGUGAAAUGCGUAGAGAUUAGGAAGAACACCAGUGGCGAAGGCGACUCUCUGGACUGUAACUGACGCUGAGGCUCGAAAGCGUGGGGAGCAAACAGGAUUAGAUACCCU
RNAcentral lists this ribosomal RNA (265 nucleotides) under uncultured prokaryote. Its description in RNAcentral is "partial 16S ribosomal RNA". It matches the Rfam family "Bacterial small subunit ribosomal RNA", at positions 524 to 788 of the family's 1533-position model. The record is from RNAcentral.